Molecule: ribosomal RNA, 441 nt
Filed under: uncultured bacterium
Lineage: Bacteria
Description: partial 16S ribosomal RNA
Rfam family: Bacterial small subunit ribosomal RNA
Source: RNAcentral
CCUACGGGGGGCAGCAGUGGGGGAUAUUGCACAAUGGGGGAAACCCUGAUGCAGCGACGCCGCGUGGGUGAAGAAGUAUUUCGGUAUGUAAAGCCCUAUCAGCAGGGAAGAAAGAAGACGGUACCUGACUAAGAAGCCCCGGCCAACUACGUGCCAGCAGCCGCGGUAAUACGUAGGGGGCGAGCGUUAUCCGGAUUCACUGGGUGUAAAGGGAGCGUAGACGGCCGUGCAAGCCAGGAGUGAAAGCCCGGGGCCCAACCCCGGGACUGCGCUUGGAACUGUGCGGCUGGAGUGCGGGGGGGGCAGGCGGAAUUCCUGGUGUAGCGGUGAAAUGCGUAGAUAUCAGGAGGAACACCGGCGGCGAAGGCGGCCUGCUGGACCGCGACUGACGUUGAGGCUCGAAAGCGUGGGGAGCGAACAGGAUUAGAUACCCUUGUAGUC